This is a non-coding RNA of Misgurnus anguillicaudatus (oriental weatherfish), 1151 nucleotides long. NCBI's taxonomy places the organism in Eukaryota, Metazoa, Chordata, Actinopteri, Cypriniformes, Cobitidae. The record is from RefSeq and is a predicted model, not a curated record.
UCUUGGAUUUCAUUAAAGUACCUCGGUUUUUGUUUGAAGAUGAAUGAGAGAACAUGAGGGUAAGUUAAGUGAUGACAGAUUUUUGCUUUUUAGAUUUUUUAGUGAACUAUUAAAUAAGUAGAACAUUUAGUAUUACAGUAUGUCUUAAUUUGAACCCAGCUUCUUCAAGCGUGUAUGUUGUGUGUCUUUUGGAACAUACAUUUUUUGUGAGUAAAGUUAGGCAUUUAAUUUCUCUUGUUGUAUUUCAGAAAUCAUAACAGCCUGUCUUUUUUUAGCACAGCGGCAUUCAAAUUGACCAAUCAGAGCCGAGAAUUUCUAAUACGUCAAAGUAGAGAUGAACAGAUGAGGAUACGGCCCAUAAAAAUACUUAUUCUUGGUGAGUGCCAUGUAGUGACGGAUCAAACGGACACUCAUGUCAAGCUUGUUGAGGACACAGUCAAAGAUUUAAAAGACCUUGUGAUUAAGUCUUCAGUGUCUGAAUGGCAAGAAGUGACCCUCCACUUAAACGUGACAUUUAAACUGCUCUGUGUUUUGGUUCAGCCAUUUGCAGGUUUAUCUCGAGUUAGUUCAAAUGCACUUCUGCAUUUUUCCCAGUAACUUUUUGUUUAGAGAAUUACAUUAUUAUGAUUAUAUGAAUAUUCAAUGGUUGCAUAUUCAUAGUGUACUUUUCAUAUUGAUGUAUAAAUGUUCCACAAUUUGAUAAAAGUAGCUCAUUGCAUUUCACUGUUCUUUGUUUUAUAUUGUAAAAUCAUUUCAAUAGCAGUAAAUACAUACUUAGUUGUUUCUUUAACAUUUAAUUAGUUGUUAAUGAUGGAAGAAACAGUAUCAUUUUAGAAUGAGUUAAAACAUGUUUUGGUGGCAAACAUGCAGGUAAAAUACUACAUAUAUAACAUUCUAAUAGUAUACUGUACUGUAAUUCAAAUGUCACAUACAGUACAUUAGAAAUGAUGUAUUUUAUGUAUACAAAUGUGUGGGCAAUAUAUUAUUAUUUCAUUUUGUAUGCUAUAUUAUUUAUGUAAUAUUAUCAUAUCUGAAAUUAUUAAAUUAUAUUUAUAAAUGUUUAAAAGGUGGCUUCAAAUGUGCUUCAAGUUGAAACUGAAUACAGUUUUAGAAAAUAGCACAGUUGAGUACACUUAGAUUGUCUUAAGUUU